Molecule: non-coding RNA, 329 nt
Organism: Arachis ipaensis
Lineage: Eukaryota; Viridiplantae; Streptophyta; Magnoliopsida; Fabales; Fabaceae
Source: RefSeq, a predicted model, not a curated record
UUCUCUUCUUUUAAGGUGGAACAUAUAUUGUGGCUUUUCAUUGGCCUAACUUUAGAGGGAAGUAUCAAGUACCACAUCUAGCUAGGACCACUGCAACGGUCCUCUUCACAGCCCAUGGACUUUGCUACAUUAUCUUUUGGGACAACACUAAUCAAAUCUAAGAGAUGCUCAUGUGGAAUAAAGCUGGCAUCUCAAAUGUGGCUGGAAAAGUAGCUUUGCUAGCAGGAUUAGCCAUGUUCCUACAGUCCCAGCAAAAAAUUUAGCUGGUUUCUGCUCGCAUCUUAUCUUGUGAAACUAUUGAACUGAAUUUCUCCAAGAAUCCAGGUGAA